This 428-nucleotide long non-coding RNA is filed under the name Apteryx rowi (Okarito brown kiwi). Its description in RNAcentral is "lncRNA (ENSARWG00000003228.1)". The record is from RNAcentral. Lineage: Eukaryota; Metazoa; Chordata; Aves; Apterygiformes; Apterygidae.
UGGACUGUAGACCAAUUUCUUCACUGAACAAAUAGUCCUUUAAGAGACUGCAGGUGGCAGCGCUGGCGAAAACCUAUGAGUCUCUGAUUACCUGCUGGAUAUUUUCCUUUUGGAUUCAUGCUUUCUGAAAGCUGAAACAAACGCUACAACAUUUGAGCCCAGCUUCAGUCUUCCCUGCUGUUGAACUGAACAAUAAGCUUCUCAUGACUUGAGCAGGUGUUGAGUUCUUGAGCAUAAACAAGUGUUUAUGGACAUCUUUGACUUCAAGAAGCAUACACAGCGGAGGUGUUGUUUGGACUUGGAAGGAUCAUGCAAAGCGUUAGGAAGCAGCCUACUAGAAACUCUGGUACACAGUAAUGCAUCUAUGGUUGGACUGAUAGUACAGGCGCAGUUGUUGGGAAGAGAGGCAGUGAUUAUGUAAGUAGAAC